Molecule: ribosomal RNA, 201 nt
Filed under: uncultured bacterium
Lineage: Bacteria
Description: partial 16S ribosomal RNA
Rfam family: Bacterial small subunit ribosomal RNA
Source: RNAcentral
UAGGCUGAAAUUCGCCUGCAUGAAGCCGGAAUUGCUAGUAAUGGCAGGUCAGCAUACUGCCGUGAAUACGUUCCCGGGCCUUGUACACACCGCCCGUCACACCAUGAGAGUUGGGGAUACCCAAAGCCCGUGAGCCAACUUUAAAAGAGGCAGCGGUCUAAGGUAGAAUCAAUGAUUGGGGUGAAGUCGUAACAAGGUACC